Molecule: ribosomal RNA, 460 nt
Filed under: uncultured bacterium
Lineage: Bacteria
Description: partial 16S ribosomal RNA
Rfam family: Bacterial small subunit ribosomal RNA
Source: RNAcentral
CCUACGGGAGUCAGCAGUGAGGAAUAUUGGUCAAUGGACGCAAGUCUGAACCAGCCAUGCCGCGUGCAGGAAGACGGCUCUAUGAGUUGUAAACUGCUUUUGUACGAGGGUAAACGCAGAUACGCGUAUCUGUCUGAAAGUAUCGUACGAAUAAGGAUCGGCUAACUCCGUGCCAGCAGCCGCGGUAAUACGGAGGAUUCAAGCGUUAUCCGGAUUUAUUGGGUUUAAAGGGUGCGUAGGCGGUCGGAUAAGUUAGAGGUGAAAUCCCGAGGCUCAACUUCGGAAUUGCCUCUGAUACUGUUAGGCUAGAGAGUAGUUGCGGUAGGCGGAAUGUAUGGUGUAGCGGUGAAAUGCUUAGAGAUCAUACAGAACACCGAUUGUGAAGGCAGCUUACCAAACUACGACUGACGUUGAGGCACGAAAGCGUGGGGAGCAAACAGGAUUAGAUACCCUGGUAGUC